This 200-nucleotide long non-coding RNA is filed under the name Hordeum vulgare. Its description in RNAcentral is "long non-coding RNA (HVUL_LNC004872)". Lineage: Eukaryota; Viridiplantae; Streptophyta; Magnoliopsida; Poales; Poaceae. The record is from RNAcentral.
GGCGCUAUAGAGGUGUAGUACCAGGUACUCCCCGGGGGAAGCGGUUUCAGAAUCGCGGAGCAGAUCCAACGUUCGGGCCGGAGCCGAGACGGAUAGGGAAAGGGCGUUUCGGUGAUUUUCACGGCGUUAGGCGCUUCGGGACGGUUGGGUCGCGCCCUUCUUCGGGUCGUUGGGUUGACCGAAUUGCCACUCCCGGCGCC